GACGAACGCUGGCGGCGUGCUUAACACAUGCAAGUCGAACGAUGAUGCCAGCUUGCUGGUGGAUUAGUGGCGAACGGGUGAGUAACACGUGAGCAACCUGCCCCUGACUUCGGGAUAACCGCGGGAAACCGUGGCUAAUACCGGAUAUGACGCGCUAUCGCAUGGUGGUGUGUGGAAAGAUUUAUCGGUUGGGGAUGGGCUCGCGGCCUAUCAGCUUGUUGGUGGGGUGAUGGCCUACCAAGGCGACGACGGGUAGCCGGCCUGAGAGGGUGACCGGCCACACUGGGACUGAGACACGGCCCAGACUCCUACGAGAGGCAGCAGUGGGGAAUAUUGCACAAUGGGCGCAAGCCUGAUGCAGCGACGCCGCGUGAGGGAUGACGGCCUUCGGGUUGUAAACCUCUUUCAGUAGGGAAGAAGGCCUUCGGGUUGACGGUACCUGCAGAAGAAGCGCCGGCUAACUACGUG
Molecule: ribosomal RNA, 468 nt
Filed under: uncultured bacterium
Lineage: Bacteria
Description: partial 16S ribosomal RNA
Rfam family: Bacterial small subunit ribosomal RNA
Source: RNAcentral